GGCGGUAUCGUCUAGGGGUCAGGACACGUGGUUCUCAGCCACGGGACCGGGGUUCGAAUCCCCGUACCGCUA
Non-coding RNA from Acidobacteria bacterium 13_1_40CM_3_65_5, 72 nucleotides. NCBI's taxonomy places the organism in Bacteria, Pseudomonadati, Acidobacteriota. The record is from Rfam.